Long non-coding RNA from Centrocercus urophasianus (Greater sage-grouse), 843 nucleotides. RefSeq lists it as uncharacterized. The transcript is spliced from 5 exons. NCBI's taxonomy places the organism in Eukaryota, Metazoa, Chordata, Aves, Galliformes, Phasianidae. The record is from RefSeq and is a predicted model, not a curated record.
CUACAAGUGUGGAAGGAUCUCUUUUGGAGAUCUAGUCUGCUGGAGUUUUAUAAACAACUUCAGGAUAUGGAUUGGGAACACAUGGAUGGCUUUUCAGUUCAAAAGCAAGCUGUGGGACUACCAAGAGAUUCAAAGAAACAAAGAAAAUUUCCAGGUUUAGGAUGGUUCCCAUAACAUGAGGGAGUGAUUACUUGCAGAAGAGGAGACAACACACUGUUCAUGUUUCUUUGUUUCAUUUGUGCAUAUUCAGGCUUUCUUAGAAGCAGUCAAGAGUGUGAAAAGUAUGGUCACUUUUCCCUUCAGUUGCAUUCUGGAAGGAUUAUGCAAACUACCUGUUUCAGCUAGAAUAUACACUGUAUUAUAUAACAGAAAACCAUUUGCUGUGGAGUCUUUCUAUUCACACUCUUCUCUGCUGUUGCUGACAGAAAUUUGUGAUGAGUUCAGUGAGAGAGCUUAGAGUUCCCACAUCUGGAUGCCUGGAACUGGUCAAGUCAGAUGGUGUCAUAAUUUUUGAGAAGCUGAACACAUGAUCCAUGUAUGAUUAUACUGCCCUCCUUUUAUCAAAAAUGUUACAGAUGGUUGUGAUUAGUCAUAUGUGCCUUUCUUCUCUCUGAAUCCGCCCUUUAACUUCAUGUGAUCUUUCAUCAUAUAGACAAGGACUUUGUUCUUAGGCAGAAUCUGGAAGAUGUUAUGAUUGUUACAACACUUUGCUAUGCUGUCUUUUCUUUGCUGAGGGCAAAAACAUCACCUUUGUCCAGUUAUUUUUCUGGCUAUCCUGACAUUUCUUUUCCCAAUUGCUUUUAUCGUUUCUUAUAAUACAUUAGCUACUGUUGAUCCUUUAAG